GCUAAAGUGGAAGAGUUGCGAACGGGUGAGUAACGCGUAGGUAACCUGCCUACUAGCGGGGAUAACUAUUGGAAACGAUAGCUAAUACCGCAUAACAGCAUUUAACACAUGUUAGAUGCUUGAAAGGAGCAAUUGCUUCACUAGUAGAUGGACCUGCGUUGUAUUAGCUAGUUGGUGAGGUAACGGCUCACCAAGGCGACGAUACAUAGCGACCUGAGAGGGUGAUCGGCCACACUGGGACUGAGACACGGCCCAGACUCCUACGGGAGGCAGCAGUAGGGAAUCUUCGGCAAUGGGGGCAACCCUGACCGAGCAACGCCGCGUGAGUGAAGAAGGUUUUCGGAUCGUAAAGCUCUGUUGUAAGAGAAGAACGUGUGUGAGAGUGGAAAGUUCACACAGUGACGGUAACUUACCAGAAAGGGACGGCUAACUACGUGCCAGCAGCCGC
Molecule: ribosomal RNA, 448 nt
Filed under: uncultured bacterium
Lineage: Bacteria
Description: bacterial SSU rRNA
Rfam family: Bacterial small subunit ribosomal RNA
Source: RNAcentral